RNAcentral lists this long non-coding RNA (447 nucleotides) under Homo sapiens (human). RNAcentral's name for it is "non-protein coding lnc-EPM2AIP1-8:1". Lineage: Eukaryota; Metazoa; Chordata; Mammalia; Primates; Hominidae. The record is from RNAcentral.
UCUGUGAGAGACAAGUUGAUUGUUAAAGAGGUUGCAGAGCUUGAGCUUAUUUACCUUGUACAUGUCAAGAGUAUUUCCUGAUCUAAAAAGCUUCAUUGCUUUCUGCUGACUGUAACCCCAGACGAGGGUUACUACUAGGGUGGAAAAUUUCAGCUCGAAACUGGACUUCCUGAUGCAUACAAUGUGGUGCCUUCCAAAGUGAAAUGCCUGACCAGGAUCUGGUACCCUAACAUCAGAGAUAGGGGAAAUAUGUCUAAAGUUUACUGAGGACAUUCGAUUGACAGCACUGGCUGGGCUCCCACGAGAUCAUUAAAGGAUGUUAUUUGGAGAUUAAAUUAUUUGUUUACUAAUCUUCUGAAUUUUGACGAUCCACUGAAUGUUGAAGCUGCAGAACAUCAUUUGUAGGACAAGGAGGACUUCUUGAAUAAAGUCGAUGACUACAUCAAG